GACGAACGCUGGCGGCGUGCUUAACACAUGCAAGUCGAACGGAAAGGCCCCUUUGGGGGUACUCGAGUGGCGAACGGGUGAAUAACACGUGAGUAACCUGCCCUUGACUUCGGGAUAACUUCAGGAAACUGGGGCUAAUACCGGAUAGGAAUCCUUGCUGCAUGGUGGGGGUUGGAAAGCUUCGGCGGUUUUGGAUGGACUCGCGGCUUAUCAGCUUGUUGGUGGGGUAGUGGCUUACCAAGGCUUUGACGGGUAGCCGGCCUGAGAGGGCGACCGGCCACAUUGGGACUGAGAUACGGCCCAGACUCCUACGGGAGGCAGCAGUGGGGAAUAUUGCACAAUGGGCGGAAGCCUGAUGCAGCAACGCCGCGUGCGGGAUGACGGCCUUCGGGUUGUAAACCGCUUUCAGCAGGGGCGAAGCUUGUGGUGACGGUACCUGCAGAAGAAGCACCGGCUAACUACGUG
Molecule: ribosomal RNA, 465 nt
Filed under: uncultured bacterium
Lineage: Bacteria
Description: partial 16S ribosomal RNA
Rfam family: Bacterial small subunit ribosomal RNA
Source: RNAcentral